RNAcentral lists this ribosomal RNA (440 nucleotides) under uncultured bacterium. Its description in RNAcentral is "partial 16S ribosomal RNA". It matches the Rfam family "Bacterial small subunit ribosomal RNA", at positions 338 to 795 of the family's 1533-position model. The record is from RNAcentral.
CCUACGGGUGGCAGCAGUGGGGGAUAUUGCACAAUGGGGGAAACCCUGAUGCAGCGACGCCGCGUGAGUGAAGAAGUAUCUCGGUAUGUAAAGCUCUAUUAGCAGGGAAGCAAAUGACAGUACUUGACCAAGAAGCCGCGGCUAACUACGGGACAGCAGCCGCGGGAAUACGGCGGGGGCAAGCGUUAUCCGGAUUUACCGGGUGUUAAGGGAGCGUAGACGGUUAUGUAAGUCUGGAGUGAAAGGCCGGGGCCCAACCCCGGGACUGCUUAGGAAACUGUGUGACUGGAGUACAGGAGGGGCAGGCGGAAUGCGUGGUGUAGCGGUGAAAUGCGUAGAUAUCAGGAGGAACACCGGCGGCGAAGGCGGCCUGCUGGACUGAAACUGACGUUGAGGCACGAAAGCGUGGGGAGCGAACAGGAUUAGAUACCCUGGUAGUC